CCCUUAGAUGUUCUGGGCUGCACGCGCGCUACACUGAUGCGAUCAACAAGUUUUUCCUAUGUCGAUAGACACGGGUAAUCUUUUGAACUCGCAUCGUGAUGGGGAUAGAUUAUUGUAAUUAUUAAUCUUCAACGAGGAAUUCCUAGUAGGUGCAAAUCAUCAGUUUGCAUCGAUUACGUCCCUGCCCUUUGUACACACCGCCCGUCGCUGCUACCGAUUGGUUGAUCUGGUGAAUUAUUCGGACUGCCGGCUGAAGGGGUUUCCUCAUCUGCCAGCGGGAAGUCUUGUUAACCCUAUCAACUAGAGGAAGCAGAAGUCGUAACA
This 324-nucleotide ribosomal RNA is filed under the name uncultured eukaryote. RNAcentral describes it as "partial 18S ribosomal RNA". It matches the Rfam family "Eukaryotic small subunit ribosomal RNA", at positions 1470 to 1796 of the family's 1831-position model. The record is from RNAcentral.